Long non-coding RNA from Magnolia sinica, 625 nucleotides. RefSeq lists it as uncharacterized. The transcript has 2 exons. The record is from RefSeq and is a predicted model, not a curated record. NCBI's taxonomy places the organism in Eukaryota, Viridiplantae, Streptophyta, Magnoliopsida, Magnoliales, Magnoliaceae.
UGGUUCCUUUAAUAAAAAGACAUGGUGGAAAUAGCCUGGGGGCUAGCCAAUAGUGACCAGCCCUUCUUGUGGGUUGUCCGGCCUGGCUCCAUCCACGGCCAUGAUUUGGUCGAACUACCAGAAGGGUUUGAAGAGAAGACAUGGGAGAGGGGCUAGAUCGUUAAGUGGGCCCCACAACAAGAAGUGCUGGCCCACCCAUCAGUGGGAGGUUAUUGGACACACAAUGGUUGGAAUUCUACGUUGGAGAGCAUAUGUGAAGGGGUUCCUAUGUUAUGUUCUCCUUAUUUAUGGGACCAAAGUUUGAAUGCUAGGUUUGUGAGCCAUGUUUGGAAGGUGGGAAUACAACUUGAGAAUGGGUUCAAUAGAAGUGAGAUAUAGUGGGCCAUAAGAAGAUUGAUGGUGGAGAUUGAAGGGAAGGAGAUAAGAGAGAGAGCACGUGAUCUAAAGGAAAAUGCAAUGCGUUGUAUAGAAAAGGGAGGUUCUUCGUAUGAGUCAUUAGAGAGUUUGGUUGAUCUUAUCAUGUCAUUGUAAUGCCGCUUUUCUUAUCAUGUUUCAUUUGUAUUUUCAUUCUAUGGCAAGCUACAACAAGAUGUAUGUGAUCAAAUAGGCCUUUGUUUCAGUGUAA